ACUCCUACGGGAGGCAGCAGUGGGGAAUAUUGGACAAUGGGCGCAAGCCUGAUCCAGCCAUGCCGCGUGAGUGAUGAAGGCCUUAGGGUUGUAAAGCUCUUUUGUCCGGGACGAUAAUGACGGUACCGGAAGAAUAAGCCCCGGCUAACUUCGUGCCAGCAGCCGCGGUAAUACGAAGGGGCGUAGCGUUGCUCGGAAUCACUGGGCGUAAAGGGCGCGUAGGCGGCCUUGUAAGUUGGGGGUGAAAGCCCGUGGCUCAACCACGGAAUUGCCUUCGAUACUGCUUGGCUUGAGUGUGGUAGAGGUUGGUGGAACUGCGAGUGUAGAGGUGAAAUUCGUAGAUAUUCGCAAGAACACCGGUGGCGAAGGCGGCCAACUGGACCAUCACUGACGCUGAGGCGCGAAAGCGUGGGGAGCAAACAGGAUUAGAUACCCUGGUAGCGACUGA
RNAcentral lists this ribosomal RNA (448 nucleotides) under uncultured bacterium. RNAcentral describes it as "bacterial SSU rRNA". It matches the Rfam family "Bacterial small subunit ribosomal RNA", at positions 335 to 798 of the family's 1533-position model. The record is from RNAcentral.